Molecule: ribosomal RNA, 380 nt
Filed under: uncultured eukaryote
Lineage: Eukaryota
Description: partial 18S ribosomal RNA
Rfam family: Eukaryotic small subunit ribosomal RNA
Source: RNAcentral
CAAUAGCGUAUAUUAAAGUUGUUGCAGUUAGAACGCUCGUAGUCGGAUUUCGGGGCGUUCCGACCGGUCUGCCGAUGGGUAUGCACUGGCCGGAGUGUCCUUUUUGCCGGAGACCGUGCCUACUCUUAACUGAGCGGGGGCGGGAGACGGCACUUUUACUUUGAAAAAAUCAGAGUGUUUCAAGCAGGCAGCUCGCUCUUGCAUGGAUUAGCAUGGGAUAAUGAAAUAGGACUUUGGUGCUAUUUUGUUGGUUUCGAACACCGAAGUAAUGAUGAGAAGGGACAGUCAGGGGCACUCGUAUUCCGCAGAGAGAGGUGAAAUUCUCAGACCCGCGGAAGACGAACCACUGCGAAANCANNNGCCAGGGAUGUUUUCACNGA